This 391-nucleotide unclassified non-coding RNA is filed under the name soil metagenome. RNAcentral describes it as "partial contains 5.8S ribosomal RNA, internal transcribed spacer 2, and large subunit ribosomal RNA". The stretch from base 1 to 122 matches the Rfam family "5.8S ribosomal RNA", at positions 35 to 154 of the family's 154-position model. The record is from RNAcentral.
GAUGAAGAACGCAGCGAAAUGCGAUACUUGGUGUGAAUUGCAGAAUCCCGUGAACCAUCGAGUCUUUGAACGCAAGUUGCGCCCGAAGCCAUUAGGCCGAGGGCACGCCUGCCUGGGCGUCACACGUCGUUGCCCCCCCAUCUACUCCUUCGGGAUUGCGGGGGGCGGAUGAUGGCCUCUCGUGCGCCUCGUCGCGCGGUUGGCCUAAAUGCUAAGUCCUCGGCGACGCACGCCACGACAAUCGGUGGUUGCGAAACCUCGGUUGCCUGUCGUGUGCGGUCGUCGCGCAUCGAGGGCUCGAAAAAAUUGCCGGGCUUCGGCUCGGCUUUCAACGCGACCCCAGGUCAGGCGGGGUUACCCGCUGAAUUUAAGCAUAUCAAUAAGCGGAGGA